RNAcentral lists this ribosomal RNA (395 nucleotides) under uncultured bacterium. RNAcentral's name for it is "partial 16S ribosomal RNA". It matches the Rfam family "Bacterial small subunit ribosomal RNA", at positions 523 to 918 of the family's 1533-position model. The record is from RNAcentral.
AUACGUAGGGUGCAAGCGUUAAUCGGAAUUACUGGGCGUAAAGCGUGCGCAGGCGGUUUUGUAAGACAGUGGUGAAAUCCCCGGGCUCAACCUGGGAACUGCCAUUGUGACUGCAAGGCUGGAGUGCGGCAGAGGGGGAUGGAAUUCCGCGUGUAGCAGUGAAAUGCGUAGAUAUGCGGAGGAACACCGAUGGCGAAGGCAAUCCCCUGGGCCUGCACUGACGCUUAUGCACGAAAGCGUGGGGAGCAAACAGGAUUAGAUACCCUGGUAGUCCACGCCCUAAACGAUGUCAACUGGUUGUUGGGGAUUUAUUUUCUCAGUAACGAAGCUAACGCGUGAAGUUGACCGCCUGGGGAGUACGGCCGCAAGGUUAAAACUCAAAUGAAUUGACGGGG